AAAGCUUCCUUCGGGGAGCAAGUAGAGUGGCGCACGGGUNAGUAACACGUAGGUAAUCUACCUUCGGAUGGGGAAUAACAAUCGGAAACGGUUGCUAAUACCGCAUAAUGCAGCGGCACCUAAUGGUGACAGUUGUUAAAGCGGGGGAUCGAAAGACCUCGCGUCUGAAGAGGAGCCUGCGGCGGAUUAGCUAGUUGGUAAGGUAACGGCUUACCAAGGCGACGAUCCGUAGCCGGCCUGAGAGGGCGGUCGGCCACACUGACACUGACAUACGGGUCAGACUCCUACGGGAGGCAGCAGUCGGGAAUUUUGGGCAAUGGGCGAAAGCCUGACCCAGCAACGCCGCGUGAAGGAUGAAAUCCUUCGGGAUGUAAACUUCGCAAGAACGGGAAGAAUAAGUCUGCGCAAAUAUCGCAGAUGAUGACGGUACCGUUUGUAAGCUCCGGCUAACUCCGUGCCAGCAGCCGCGGUAAUACGGGGGGAGCAAGCGUUGUUCGGAUUUACUGGGCGUAAAGGGCGCGUAGGCGGCCACUGCAAGUCAGUUGUGAAAUCUCCGGGCUUAACUCGGAAAGGUCAACUGAUACUGCAGGGCUAGAGUGCGGAAGGGGCAACUGGAAUUCUCGGUGUAGCGGUGAAAUGCGUAGAUAUCGAGAGGAACACCUGCGGCGAAGGCGGGUUGCUGGGCCGACACUGACGCUGAAGCGCGAAAGCUAGGGGAGCGAACGGGAUUAGAUACCCCGGUAGUCCUAGCCUUAAACGAUGGAUGCUUGGUGUCCGGGGUUUUAUAGU
Molecule: ribosomal RNA, 789 nt
Filed under: uncultured Bacteroidota bacterium
Lineage: Bacteria; Pseudomonadati; Bacteroidota
Description: bacterial SSU rRNA
Rfam family: Bacterial small subunit ribosomal RNA
Source: RNAcentral